RNAcentral lists this ribosomal RNA (271 nucleotides) under Vibrio alginolyticus. RNAcentral's name for it is "partial 23S ribosomal RNA". It matches the Rfam family "Bacterial large subunit ribosomal RNA", at positions 2660 to 2925 of the family's 2925-position model. Lineage: Bacteria; Pseudomonadati; Pseudomonadota; Gammaproteobacteria; Vibrionales; Vibrionaceae. The record is from RNAcentral.
GAUUGAAGGGGGCUGCUCCUAGUACGAGAGGACCGGAGUGGACGAACCUCUGGUGUUCGGGUUGUCAUGCCAAUGGCAUUGCCCGGUAGCUAAGUUCGGAAUCGAUAACCGCUGAAAGCAUCUAAGCGGGAAGCGAGCCUUGAGAUGAGUCUUCCCUGGCGCUUUAAGCGUCCUAAAGGGUUGUUCAAGACUAGAACGUUGAUAGGCAGGGUGUGUAAGCGCUGUGAGGCGUUGAGCUAACCUGUACUAAUUGCCCGUGAGGCUUAACCAU